This 74-nucleotide transfer RNA is filed under the name Mycobacterium talmoniae. It matches the Rfam family "tRNA". From Rfam's summary of the family: Transfer RNA (tRNA) molecules are approximately 80 nucleotides in length. Their secondary structure includes four short double-helical elements and three loops (D, anti-codon, and T loops). Lineage: Bacteria; Bacillati; Actinomycetota; Actinomycetes; Mycobacteriales; Mycobacteriaceae. The record is from Rfam by way of RNAcentral.
GGGGUGCUAGCUCAUCCUGGAAGAGCGCUGGUUUUGCACACCAGAGGCGCGGGGUUCGAGGCCCCGGCACUCCA